Molecule: unclassified non-coding RNA, 1774 nt
Filed under: Hevea brasiliensis (rubber tree)
Lineage: Eukaryota; Viridiplantae; Streptophyta; Magnoliopsida; Malpighiales; Euphorbiaceae
Source: RNAcentral
GGUUCAAUUUGAUUCGAUUUUUUAUAUAUUUUGAUUUGAUUUUUAAAAUAUAAUAAUUCGACUAAUUCAAUUUUGACGAUUUAAUUCAAUUUAGUUCAAUUUAAAUCGAAUACUCAACCCUACAAAUAGCUACAUCACAAGGAGACAACCCUGUUUCAACUACGGUCAUAUGCGAAGGAAAUAAUAGACAAUAAGACUAAGCCUAAAUUGGCUUGAUUCAACAACCAAAGGCAUAACACUCAAUAUGGCAGUCAGAUUAUCCCUCAAUUCCCCCAACCUACUGGCGAAAAAGGAAGACAAUGAGACUGGACGCUCUUCCACUAAGGGAAGCUUCCAUGUAAAAGCAGGUUCAGCUUUCCACCAGCAGCUAAGUUUUGCCAAAGGACAUUGAACUGAUUUGCCAUUUGCUGGUGCAAAGAAUGGGAAAAUCCUUUUCCUUUUUCCCAGCAUUCCUUCUUUCCUUCCACGACUGUACAGUGAGCAUUGGUCAGUGUUGAAGGUUCUAAAUUUCGCUUUUCAAUCACUUCCAAGUAAAUUGGAACCCUUUUAUGAACUUUUACUGAUGAUGAAUUGUGUCAUGGACUGGGAGUUUAUCAACACCAAACUUCUACGGGAGUCUAUAUUUAUGGGGUUACAAUUGUCAUGGGAAAUCAAUAAAAUACAAUUUUCUAUAGAUCAUAAAAGAAAAUCAAAGCCAAAAUGAACAAUCAUGUGCAAGAACCUGAUGAUUUUUAGUAGCUUACAAGUAAUUUGAUAAUUUUGAUUUUGAAAGGCUGGUUACCUGGGACUAACUGAAGUCUCGUCUGGAUGAAAAUCCAAGGCAGACAAGGACUGGAGAAUGAUUCUGAGGCUAGCAAAACACACUUGACAAUGCUGACUAUCGAUUAUUUGUUAUCUUAGUAAGGAAGCUGGAGAAUUGAUCCCUGUUUUGGAGACCCAUGUGGCACAGGGGUGAUUGUUCCAGCUCACCCGGUCCAUGUGUAGCAAGUCCUUCAACCUUAGAAUAACCUCAUUUCAAUGCACAAGUGCUUUGCCCUCUUAUCUCCAAGCCAACAGUCCUUAGUCAUAUGCUGAUUCAGGACUUGAAUCUUUAAGGCAACAGUCCUCACCGAAUAUGAAACCAGAUAUAUUUAUAUGAUGUGCAGGUUUCACAUACUCCAAAAUUUGUCAAUUAGAAAUAUGUGUUUCUUUUUUGACCAAAUGUGGAUAUGAAAGGCUCUUAGACUUCUGCUGAGCCUUUGACAAAAUCUUCAUCCAUCCUUUUGAUUGCACUUGAUCUAGGAUCUCCAGAGCUACACAUUACAUUGACACCCUUUCAUUAUCAUGAACCUCAGUAAUGAGACAAAUCCAAGUAUCUACUUUUCUGAAGUAAGCCCAUUUUCUAGCAUCUCAUCUCUCAGCUUGAGUGCAACUGAUAUCUUUACUUACCUACAAAGGUCAGUAAUCAAGGAUCCAUAGGAUAAACUAUCUGGUUUCAGUCUCUUGUUAUACAUAUCCCCAGGCAAUUGACUUAUCAGGGAAUUAUUGUGUACUGUAAUGCCACGAUGCACUAGGAAGAAAUCAAAAGUUCCUAAGAUUAAAAAUUUGGAGCGCAUCUCCUGUUAACCCAUUCUUGCCAAGUCUGUCCAAUACCAUGUUAAAAGUGAUUAUAGUUGGACUAGGCCCACUUUGUAUCAUAGUUUCCAAUAGCUUUACACACAUUGAAAAUUUCCUAACUGUGCAGAAAUAUUGGACCAGACAAGUCAAACUAACAACAUCACACUUAAUACCUUCA